CACAAGGCUCUUUUCAGAGCCACCAUAACUCAAGCUUGUCUCUG
Non-coding RNA from Operophtera brumata (winter moth), 44 nucleotides. The record is from Rfam. NCBI's taxonomy places the organism in Eukaryota, Metazoa, Arthropoda, Insecta, Lepidoptera, Geometridae.